AACUAAAAGACAAAAAAAAUAACAAGAAGAAGUUAUAUUUUUGUAAUUAGUUCAUUGUUUUUAUGUGCCUGCUGUUUUAUUAUCCUUAAU
This 90-nucleotide non-coding RNA is filed under the name Lingulaulax polyedra. The record is from RNAcentral. Lineage: Eukaryota; Dinophyceae; Gonyaulacales; Lingulodiniaceae.